Molecule: ribosomal RNA, 218 nt
Filed under: uncultured bacterium
Lineage: Bacteria
Description: partial 16S ribosomal RNA
Rfam family: Bacterial small subunit ribosomal RNA
Source: RNAcentral
UGGUCUCAGUUCGGACUGUAGGCUGCAACUCGCCUACACGAAGUUGGAAUUGCUAGUAAUCGUGGAUCAGCAUGCCACGGUGAAUACGUUCCCGGGUCUUGUACACACCGCCCGUCACACCAUGAGAGUUUGUAACACCCAAAGCCGGUGGGGUAACCUUUUGGAGCCAGCCGUCUAAGGUGGGACAGAUGAUUGGGGUGAAGUCGUAACAAGGUAAC